CCUACGUGAGGCAGCAGUGAGGGAUAUUGGUCAAUGGGGGAAACCCUGAACCAGCAACGCCGCGUGAGGGAAGACGGUCCUCGGAUUGUAAAACUCUGUUCUCUGUGAAGCAGAUAACGGUCGUAAAGGAGGAAGCUCCAGCUACCUACGUGCAAGCAGCCGCGGUAAUACGUAGGGAGCAAGCGGUGUCCGGAUUUAUUGGGUGUAAAGGGGGCGUUGGGGGCUUUGUAAGUCAGAAGUGAAAUCCAUGAGCUUAACCCAUGAAAUGAUUUUGAAACUGUAGGGCUUGAGUGGAGUAGAGGUAGGCGGAAUGCGCGGUGUAGCGGUGAAAUGCGUAGAGAUCAGGAGGAACACCAGUGGCGAAGGCAGCCUGCUGGGGUCUAACUGACGCUGAGGCACGAAAGCGUGGGUAUCGAACAGGAUUAGAUACCCUAGUAGUC
RNAcentral lists this ribosomal RNA (440 nucleotides) under uncultured bacterium. RNAcentral describes it as "partial 16S ribosomal RNA". It matches the Rfam family "Bacterial small subunit ribosomal RNA", at positions 338 to 795 of the family's 1533-position model. The record is from RNAcentral.